RNAcentral lists this ribosomal RNA (497 nucleotides) under uncultured bacterium. RNAcentral's name for it is "partial 16S ribosomal RNA". It matches the Rfam family "Bacterial small subunit ribosomal RNA", at positions 28 to 507 of the family's 1533-position model. The record is from RNAcentral.
GAUGAACGCUGGCGGCGUGCCUAAUACAUGCAAGUCGAGCGAACGGACGAGAAGCUUGCGUCUCUGAUGUUAGCGGCGGACGGGUGAGUAACACGUGGAUAACCUACCUAUAAGACUGGGAUAACUUCGGGAAACCGGAGCUAAUACCGGAUAAUAUUUUGAACCGCAGGGUUCAAAAGUGAAAGACGGUCUUGCUGUCACUUAUAGAUGGAGCCGCGCUGCAUUAGCUAGUUGGUAAGGUAACGGCUUACCAAGGCAACGAUGCAUAGCCGACCUGAGAGGGUGAUCGGCCACACUGGAACUGAGACACGGUCCAGACUCCUACGGGAGGCAGCAGUAGGGAAUCUUCCGCAAUGGGCGAAAGCCUGACGGAGCAACGCCGCGUGAGUGAUGAAGGUCUUCGGAUCGUAAAACUCUGUUAUUAGGGAAGAACAUAUGUGUAAGUAACUGUGCACAUCUUGACGGUACCUAAUCAGAAAGCCACGGCUAACUACGUG